AGUGAACGUUGGCGGCGUGGAUUAGGCAUGCAAGUCGAGCGAGAACCGUAGCAAUACGGGGACAGCGGCGAAAGGGACAGUAAUGUGUAGGUACCUACCCCCGGGUUCGGGAUAGCUGCGGGAAACUGCAGGUAAUACCGAAUAAUGUCUCCGGACCAAAGGUGUGAUUCCACCUGGGGAGGGGCCUGCAUCCUAUUAGCUUGUUGGUGGGGUAACGGCCUACCAAGGCGACGAUGGGUAGCGGGUGUGAGAGCAUGACCCGCGUCAUUGGGACUGAGACACUGCCCAGACACCUACGGGUGGCUGCAGUCGAGAAUCUUCGGCAAUGGGCGCAAGCCUGACCAAGCGACGCCGCGUGCGGGAUGAAGGCCUUCGGGUUGUAAACCGCUGUCGUAGAGGAGGAAAUGCAGGGGGGUUCUCCCCUUUGCUUGACCUAUUCUAGGAGGAAGUACGGGCUAAGUUCGUGCCAGCCGCCGCUGUAA
This 482-nucleotide ribosomal RNA is filed under the name uncultured bacterium. RNAcentral's name for it is "partial 16S ribosomal RNA". It matches the Rfam family "Bacterial small subunit ribosomal RNA", at positions 28 to 523 of the family's 1533-position model. The record is from RNAcentral.